UGGCUCAGAUUGAACGCUGGCGGCAGGCCUAACACAUGCAAGUCGAGCGGAUGACGGGAGCUUGCUCCUUGAUUCAGCGGCGGACGGGUGAGUAAUGCCUAGGAAUCUGCCUGGUAGUGGGGGACAACGUUUCGAAAGGAACGCUAAUACCGCAUACGUCCUACGGGAGAAAGCAGGGGACCUUCGGGCCUUGCGCUAUCAGAUGAGCCUAGGUCGGAUUAGCUAGUUGGUGGGGUAAUGGCUCACCAAGGCGACGAUCCGUAACUGGUCUGAGAGGAUGAUCAGUCACACUGGAACUGAGACACGGUCCAGACUCCUACGGGAGGCAGCAGUGGGGAAUAUUGGACAAUGGGCGAAAGCCUGAUCCAGCCAUGCCGCGUGUGUGAAGAAGGUCUUCGGAUUGUAAAGCACUUUAAGUUGGGAGGAAGGGCAGUAAGYUAAUACCUUGCUGUUUUGACGUUACCGACAGAAUAAGCACCGGCUAACUCUGUGCCAGCAGCCGCGGUAAUACAGAGGGUGCAAGCGUUAAUCGGAAUUACUGGGCGUAAAGCGCGCGUAGGUGGUUUGUUAAGUUGGAUGUGAAAGCCCCGGGCUCAACCUGGGAACUGCAUCCAAAACUGGCAAGCUAGAGUACGGUAGAGGGUGGUGGAAUUUCCUGUGUAGCGGUGAAAUGCGUAGAUAUAGGAAGGAACACCAGUGGCGAAGGCGACCACCUGGACUGAUACUGACACU
Molecule: ribosomal RNA, 732 nt
Filed under: Pseudomonas sp. 120516_NH_C1_D3
Lineage: Bacteria; Pseudomonadati; Pseudomonadota; Gammaproteobacteria; Pseudomonadales; Pseudomonadaceae
Description: bacterial SSU rRNA
Rfam family: Bacterial small subunit ribosomal RNA
Source: RNAcentral